This is a long non-coding RNA of Apodemus sylvaticus (European woodmouse), 826 nucleotides long. RefSeq lists it as uncharacterized. The transcript is spliced from 5 exons. The record is from RefSeq and is a predicted model, not a curated record. NCBI's taxonomy places the organism in Eukaryota, Metazoa, Chordata, Mammalia, Rodentia, Muridae.
UAGAGAGGUCACCUGCAGACACACCCUGGCUUCUGCUAAACCCGCUUCUUUCUCUUUCCCCCUCCGGGCACCGAGAAGACGCACCCGCGGGCUCUCCGAGCUCUAGGGUCCUUUUACGUAGCAAAGUCAGGCCUGGGAACAGAACUUUACGUUCGUGUAAAGUCUGUGGUACGUCCUCGUUUUGAGGAAUGGGGCGGAGGGGGGGGACAAAAAAGCGAGAAAGGUCGAGCCUAGAGAAGUCGGGGGUCAAACUGACCAAAACCAGGACGGGAGGACCGAAGAUGCAGCAGGCGAAAAGUCCUCAGCCACGGCCGGCUGUUGUACGGUGUGUUUCACCUCUCCUGCUAACCCUUCAUCCCUGUCUACGAGGACAAAGAAGCUUCGGGGUACAUUGGUGAUGGGCCUAGCUGUCCUUGAGAAUGCUCGUGAUUAAGUUGGUGAUAGAAAAUGGGAGAACUGAAGACAGUCACUUUAUAAAACCCUUGUCUGCUUGAAUUUGUGGUGCUGGGUUACCCUUUGAAAGACAAGUAUCUCCAAGGAAAGUUUAACAGGUCUGAAAGGAGAACGUCCAUUGGAGAAUUGCUUCUGAAUGGAGAACGUUCAGUGGACAGUUACCAAAGAAAAAACACUGACAAGAUUCUAGACAUCCGCAAUUCUGGCUCUUUGUCCUUAGAGGAGGCCCCUGAGAUUUGCUGCCAGGACCAGGAAUCGAUCAGACCUCACAAGCAAGCCCUGGAGUCCACAUGCUGCUGGGUGCAGAUGGGAGCAAUGCAGGAUUUGACCACUGACUGCACAGACUUCUUCACAGGGGAGAGGAGUGAGUGAG